CCCAGGACUUCACCCUGGGCUGGAAUAUGCCGCCCCUUCGGGGCU
RNAcentral lists this small RNA (45 nucleotides) under Granulicella mallensis MP5ACTX8. Its description in RNAcentral is "Acidobacterium sp. MP5ACTX8 Acido-Lenti-1 RNA". It matches the Rfam family "Acido-Lenti-1 RNA". The record is from Rfam by way of RNAcentral. Lineage: Bacteria; Pseudomonadati; Acidobacteriota; Terriglobia; Terriglobales; Acidobacteriaceae.